Molecule: non-coding RNA, 2680 nt
Organism: Gasterosteus aculeatus aculeatus (three-spined stickleback)
Lineage: Eukaryota; Metazoa; Chordata; Actinopteri; Perciformes; Gasterosteidae
Source: RefSeq, a predicted model, not a curated record
UCUAGACUGUCGGACCCUUCCAUUGAUUCAGAGGGGAGGGAGGUCGAGGGGAUGCUCUCCAAUCUUUAGCAAGAUCCAGCCGCUGCAUCAAAAACAAAUAAGAUAAUAUGAACAGUUUAUUUAAUCACUUUAUUAACAAUACUCAGAUUGAGAUUAGGGUGAUGCAACAAGGACAUGUCUUGUGUCCACUCUGUUAGGUAAGAUGAAUAUAAUGUUAACAGUGUAUUGACGUAACCUACUGUCUCUGAUAUUACAACAAGCUAGGGAAACAGUCAUCAUGGGAAAACUCGAAAUACAGCAACACAAUGCAACCCAGUACCAGUUGCCGUAAACACAACACAGCUAACGCUAGCCGGGCCAUUGCGUUUGACCCCACGAAGGCUACAAUGGUCUUCCGGAAGCUGGCCCGGAACCAUAUUCCCUGGAUAUUGUCUUACAGGCAGGCACGAGCGCUGCAGCACCAGCGGCUGAAGGGUUGUGGGUGACGUCUCCCGAUGGGGGCGAGUGAGCCUGUUACGCCUGAAAGACUAAACUCGGAGCAACAAGAGCUCGAUAUCUUCUGAGAACAGCGAUAGAAAGAGGAUGUUUGUGUUGGACGGUGUGGCACCGUGGAGCUGGAGCGUCACGAUGCGGUUGGACUUGCAAAUACUUUUAUCUUCCGCAGAAUUAAAAAAAAGAAAAAAAGAAAAGAAAACAGUCCGAUGUUGAUAAUUGUGCAUGAUAUUUACCCUAGCAGCCAAUGUCACAUCAUAAGUCAUACUCAUAAUAAAUCAAAUUGACUUAUGCAACUGUUUUAGUUGUAGGUGUCACAUCCCAUUUGGACAAGUUGCGUGUGUUUUAAUCAUAUUUUUGAACAAAGGAGAGAUUUUGAUUUAGCAGUAAAAACGUACAGUUACGUACUGAAACACCAUGUGCCAUUAAUUCGUUACUGGGUUGUUUAGUUCCUAUUGUUGGACAACAUAUUGUUGUGUACUGUGAAAAAACACGCCGUCGACAGUCGCCUUAGGCAGUGUUGUAUCCCACAUCAUUGUUUUGUUGCAGUAUUAACUCACUCAAUUCUUUAAAAAGGGAUACUGGAGAGUACUGAACUCCUUAAGUCCCAUUGAUAAACAGGCUGGUGCCGCUAUAUGUCCAUCGUGGUUGGGAACCUAAAUAAAUAAACAACCACAUAAACAAUUGUACUAAUGAGAUACCCUCUGACUGCAGUGUGAGGAUGUACCGACAAAACGGUCUCAUUUAAUCACCACAGGUGUAUCUGAUUCAUUGCAUUAGACAUUCUGUCUUUUAAUUUGCCUGUUGCCUUAUUGGCCAUGGGUGACUAAAGAACAAAAGCAAUGCUAAUACCACCUGACAAUUUUGGAGGCAUACAUCACAGAAUGUGUUAUGGUCUGAGACAGUAUCUCCAGCUCCAAUUAAGCAUGCCAGAAUGAGUUGCAGUGUGGACCACAGCAGCCCAGCUCAGAGUUAUGGAUGAGCAGUCACUCUAGCAGUGCCUGACCCUGAGUGCUAAUUAGAUAUGACAUUAAAAUAACAUGAGCCAAAGACAGACUUGUGCAGAAAUUAAAUGCCUUGCGUUGAAUCAACUUCCAACACAACAAAUAACAACGGACUAAUUGGAGUAACUGAGUUUAUAACAGUAAAAAGGGUUAUAAAGAUUAUUUUCUUCCCUGUUACUAUUAUUGUAGAAUACCACAAAGAUUGGGUGGGUAUUUGCUUAACAAGCAAGUUAAUUACACUUCACUCGAGACUUCUCAAUAAGCUGUUUGUAUGAAGCUAAACUCUGUGUCAUACUUUCUUUUGGUUGUUGUUUUGGAUGCACAGAAAUCGAGAGUGAGGAGAUUCUUGGAUAUUGUAGUUACUGGGUGAAACAACUGGUGGGCGGUAAAAAAUACAACCCAACGCUCUUCAGAAAGCAGCAUUCAAAAUCUUAUUUUAAUUUGUAUAUUUACUCCAUAAACAUUAUUACAAAACUCAGCAAGUUACCAAUAUUACAUUAUCACCAUACAGGCUUGAUCACAAAUAUUUAAAACUUUUGCAACAGUUACAACAAAACAAAAAACUAAAUGAUACUCAAAUAAUUUACAUGAAAAUCUAUAAAACAGCAAAUUGUUCACAAAUUAUAUAUUUUUUUCCAGGUUUUCAUUUUUUUUUCUUUGCUUAUUUGUGUUUUGCACAGUAACACAACACUCUCACAACAAGAUCAUGGUCUUAUUACAAAACUCCCAACAAAAUGUAAAUAUUUCUAGUUUUCUGUUGAUAUUCAUAUUUUGGUUUUUAAAACCAGAAACUUGUCAUUGUAUAUCCUUUCCACUGCCCAUAGAGGCGCAUAAAAGGUUACUCACACACACAAAUACUUCACAGCACUUUCUAAGAAAAAUAUACACUUACAAAAUAUGUUACAAAUUGGCACACAAAAAAUAUACAAGAUUUUGUAGUGUCAAGAGUUCAUUAAGAUUCCUUCUGGUAACAACUCUAGACAGUAUAUAUAAAGCUCGGUAAUCUUUUAAUGAAAAGAGCGAAAGUAAUUCCAAUCAAUGUUAAAGAAUCAUGAAGUGAAUACAUCGAACAUAACAUUAUAAUAUACAUUCAUAAAGAGGGUUAGGUACCUAAUCUAGUUUGCAUUUAUUUUUUGUUAACUCUGGGAGAAAAAAAAAUCAAAAUGAAAAAAAAAAAAAAAAAA